UACGUAGGGGGCGAGCGUUGUCCGGAUUUAUUGGGCGUAAAGAGCUCGUAGGCGGCUUGGCAAGUCGGGUGUGAAACCUCCAGGCUCAACCUGGAGACGCCACUCGAUACUGCUAUGGCUAGAGUCCGGUAGGGGACCACGGAAUUCCUGGUGUAGCGGUGAAAUGCGCAGAUAUCAGGAGGAACACCGGUGGCGAAGGCGGCAUCCUGGACCAACACUGACGCUGAGGAGCGAAAGCCAGGGGAGCAAACGGG
Molecule: ribosomal RNA, 254 nt
Filed under: uncultured bacterium
Lineage: Bacteria
Description: partial 16S ribosomal RNA
Rfam family: Bacterial small subunit ribosomal RNA
Source: RNAcentral